GAGCUUUAUCGUAAGAUAGAGUUUGAGAGUGGCGAACGGGUGAGUAACACGUAGGAAUCUACCCUUGAGAGGGGGACAACCCAGGGAAACUUGGGCUAAUACCGGAUGAGAGUGCGAGAGAUUGCAUUUAAAAGGAUGGCGAAAGUUGUCGCUUAGGGAUGAGCCUGCGGUCUAUUAGUUAGUGGGUGAGGUAAGAGCUCACCAAGGCGAUGAUAGAUAGGCGGCCUUAACGGGGUGGUCGCCCACACUGGGAUUGAGAUACGGCCCAGACUCCUAGGGGAGGCAGCAGUCGAGAAUAGUCUACAAUGGCCGGAAGGCUGAUAGUGCGACGCCGCGUGAACGAGGGAGCCCUUCGGGGUGUAAAGUUCUUUUCUAUACGAGCAGUGCUAUAUAUAUGGAUAGUAUAUAUAGAGGGAUAGUAGUAUAGGAAUAAGCAACGGCUAACUCCGUGCCAGCAGCCGCGGUAACACGGGGGUUGCGAGCGUUGUCCGGAGUUACUAGGCGUAAAGGGCAGGUAGGCGGAUCUACGAGUUUUUUGUUAAAGGCUACGGCUCAACUGUAGUAGAGCAGGAGAUACUGUAGGUCUGGAAUGCGGUAGGGGAAGACAGAAUUCCUGGUGUAGCGGUGGAAUGCGCAGAGAUCAGGAGGAAUACCGAAGGCGAAGGCAGUCUUCUAAGCCGAUAUUGACGCUAAACUGCGAAGGUGUGGGGAUCAAACAGGAUUAGAUACCCUGGUAGUCCACACAGUAAACGAUAAUCACUAGGUGUUGGGUUCUUAAGAGGAUUCAGUGCCGGAGCUAACGCGAUAAGUGAUUCGCCUGGGGAGUACGAUCGCAAGGUUGAAACUCAAAGGAAUUGACGGGGGCCCGCACAAGCGGUGGAGCAUGUGGUUUAAUUCGACGCAACGCGAAGAACCUUACCCGGUCUUGACAUCUGCAGAAUUCUUCAGAGAUGGAGGAGUGCCGGUUUUACCGGAGCUGCAAGACAGGUGCUGCAUGGCUGUCGUCAGCUCGUGUCGUGAGAUGUUGGGUUAAGUCCCGCAACGAGCGCAACCCCUGCUUUCAGUUACCAUCAUUAAGUUGGGGACUCUGGAAGGACCGCUGCGGUAACAACGCAGAGGAAGAUGGGGACGACGUCAAGUCAUCAUGGUCCUUAUGACCGGGGCUACACACGUGCUACAAUGGUAGUUACAGAGGGAUGCGAAGCAGUGAUGUGGAGCGAAUCUCAGAAAAGCUACCACAGUUCGGAUUGAGGUCUGCAACUCGACCUCAUGAAGCAGGAAUCGCUAGUAAUCGCGCAACAUCAUGGCGCGGUGAAUACGUUCCCGGGCC
This 1330-nucleotide ribosomal RNA is filed under the name uncultured bacterium. RNAcentral describes it as "bacterial SSU rRNA". It matches the Rfam family "Bacterial small subunit ribosomal RNA", at positions 69 to 1380 of the family's 1533-position model. The record is from RNAcentral.